This 128-nucleotide non-coding RNA is filed under the name Sinomonas humi. Its description in RNAcentral is "TPP riboswitch aptamer (THI element)". It matches the Rfam family "TPP riboswitch aptamer (THI element)". Rfam says of the family: Vitamin B(1) in its active form thiamin pyrophosphate (TPP) is an essential coenzyme that is synthesised by coupling of pyrimidine and thiazole moieties in bacteria. The previously detected thiamin-regulatory element, thi box was extended, resulting in a new, highly conserved RNA secondary structure, the THI element, which is widely distributed in eubacteria and also occurs in some archaea. Analysis of operon structures identified a large number of new candidate thiamin-regulated genes, mostly transporters, in various prokaryotic organisms. RNAcentral also lists the same sequence under 1 other name. Lineage: Bacteria; Bacillati; Actinomycetota; Actinomycetes; Micrococcales; Micrococcaceae. The record is from Rfam by way of RNAcentral.
UUCAUACGACAGGGGAGCGCCGUGCCGCCGGGCAUACCGGAGGCAGAGGGCGCUGAGAGUGCGGACCACCGCAGACCCUCGAACCUGCUCCGGCUAAUACCGGCGAAGGGAGUCGAGUUCUCAGGCAG